RNAcentral lists this ribosomal RNA (496 nucleotides) under uncultured bacterium. RNAcentral's name for it is "partial 16S ribosomal RNA". It matches the Rfam family "Bacterial small subunit ribosomal RNA", at positions 29 to 507 of the family's 1533-position model. The record is from RNAcentral.
AUGAACGCUGGCGGCGUGCCUAAUACAUGCAAGUCGAGCGAACAGACGAGGAGCUUGCUCCUCUGACGUUAGCGGCGGACGGGUGAGUAACACGUGGAUAACCUACCUAUAAGACUGGGAUAACUUCGGGAAACCGGAGCUAAUACCGGAUAAUAUAUUGAACCGCAUGGUUCAAUAGUGAAAGACGGUUUUGCUGUCACUUAUAGAUGGAUCCGCGCCGCAUUAGCUAGUUGGUAAGGUAACGGCUUACCAAGGCGACGAUGCGUAGCCGACCUGAGAGGGUGAUCGGCCACACUGGAACUGAGACACGGUCCAGACCCCUACGGGAGGCAGCAGUAGGGAAUCUUCCGCAAUGGGCGAAAGCCUGACGGAGCAACGCCGCGUGAGUGAUGAAGGUCUUCGGAUCGUAAAACUCUGUUAUUAGGGAAGAACAAAUGUGUAAGUAACUAUGCACGUCUUGACGGUACCUAAUCAGAAAGCCACGGCUAACUACGUG